RNAcentral lists this ribosomal RNA (400 nucleotides) under uncultured bacterium. RNAcentral's name for it is "bacterial SSU rRNA". It matches the Rfam family "Bacterial small subunit ribosomal RNA", at positions 355 to 745 of the family's 1533-position model. The record is from RNAcentral.
GGAGGAAUAUUGCGCAAUGGGGGCAACCCUGACGCAGCAACGCCGCGUGAGUGAGGAAGGUUUUUGGACUGUAAAGCUCUGUCGAGCGGGAAGAAGUGUACCAUGGCUAAUAUCCAUGAUAUUUGACGGUACCGCUAGAGGAAGCACCGGCUAACUCCGUGCCAGCAGCCGCGGUAAUACGGGGGGGUGCGAGCGUUGUUCGGAAUUAUUGGGCGUAAAGAGCGUGUAGGCGGCUGAGCAAGUCAGAUGUGAAAGCCCCGGGCUUAACCCGGGAAGUGCAUUUGAAACUGUUCGGCUUGAGUAGGGGAGAGGAAAGUGGAAUUCCUGGUGUAGAGGUGAAAUUCGUAGAUAUCAGGAGGAACACCGGCGGCGAAGGCGACUUUCUGGCCCUAUACUGACG